RNAcentral lists this ribosomal RNA (656 nucleotides) under uncultured fungus. Its description in RNAcentral is "eukaryotic LSU rRNA". It matches the Rfam family "Eukaryotic large subunit ribosomal RNA", at positions 24 to 664 of the family's 3401-position model. The record is from RNAcentral. Lineage: Eukaryota; Fungi.
CCCGCUGAACUUAAGCAUAUCAAUAAGCGGAGGAAAAGAAACUAACAAGGAUUCCCCUAGUAACUGCGAGUGAAGCGGGAAAAGCUCAAAUUUAAAAUCCGGCGGUCUAUGGCUGUCCGAGUUGUAAUCUAGAGAAGUAAUGCCCGCGCUGGACCGUGUACAAGUCUCCUGGAAUGGAGCGUCAUAGAGGGUGAGAAUCCCGUCUUUGACACGGACUACCAGGGCUUUGUGGUAUGCUCUCAAAGAGUCGAGUUGUUUGGGAAUGCAGCUCUAAAUGGGUGGUAAAUUCCAUCUAAAGCUAAAUAUUGGCGAGAGACCGAUAGCGAACAAGUACCGUGAGGGAAAGAUGAAAAGAACUUUGGAAAGAGAGUUAAACAGUACGUGAAAUUGCUGAAAGGGAAACGCUUGAAGUCAGUCGCGUUGACUAGAACUCAGCUUCACUUUUGUGGGGUGUACUUUUUAGUUGACGGGUCAGCAUCAAUUCUGACUGCUGGAAAAAGGCUUAGGGAAUGUGGCAGCUCCGGCUGUGUUAUAGCCCUUUGUCACAUACAGCUGUUGGGAUUGAGGAACUCAGCACGCCGCAAGGCCGGGUUUCGACCACGUUCGUGCUUAGGAUGCUGGCAUAAUGGCUUUAAGCGACCCGUCUUGAAACACGG